RNAcentral lists this ribosomal RNA (492 nucleotides) under uncultured bacterium. RNAcentral's name for it is "partial 16S ribosomal RNA". It matches the Rfam family "Bacterial small subunit ribosomal RNA", at positions 26 to 507 of the family's 1533-position model. The record is from RNAcentral.
GGGGGGGGGGGGGGGGGGGCGGGACAGAGGCAGGGCGAGCGGGAGCGGAGGGAGAGGGUGGUGGUACGGGGGGGGAGGGGGGGGCGGGGGAGGAGAACAUCGGAAUCUACGUUGGCGUGGGGGAUAACGUAGGGAAGGUUACGCUAAGACCGCAUACGACCUACGGGGGAAAGCAGGGGAUCUUCGGACCGUGCGCGAUGGAAUGAGCCGAGGUCGGAUUAGCUAGUUGGCGGGGUAAAGGCCCACCAAGGCGACGAUCCGUAGCUGGCCUGAGAGGAUGAUCAGCCACACUGGAACUGAGACACGGUCCAGACUCCUCCGGGAGGCAGCAGUGGGGAAUAUUGGACAAUGGGCGCAAGCCUGAUCCAGCCAUACCGCGUGGGUGAAGAAGGCCUUCGGGUUGUAAAGCCCUUUUGUUGGGAAAGAAAAGCAGCAGGUUAAUACCCCGCUGUUCUGACGGUACCCAAAGAAUAAGCACCGGCUAACUUCGUG